GACGAACCGUGCGAACGUUGUUCGGAAUCACUGGGCUUAAAGGGCGCGUAGGCGGGCUGUCGCGUCUGGGGUGAAAUCCUCCGGCUCAACCGGGGAAGGGCCUCGGGUACGGACGGCCUCGAGGGGGGUAGGGGCGUGCGGAACUGUGGGUGGAGCGGUGAAAUGCGUUGAUAUCCACAGGAACUCCGGUGGCGAAGGCGGCACGCUGGACCCCUUCUGACGCUGAGGCGCGAAAGCCAGGGGAGCAAACGGG
Molecule: ribosomal RNA, 253 nt
Filed under: uncultured bacterium
Lineage: Bacteria
Description: partial 16S ribosomal RNA
Rfam family: Bacterial small subunit ribosomal RNA
Source: RNAcentral